AUUUAGUGCAGAGUUUCAUCGUGAAUCUUUACAGCUUGCUGUCCACAGGCAGUAUUUCAAAUAUAGCCCCGAUAUUUUUUGGAUCCAUCCCGACCGCCUGUUUGCAGUCACGUGCCCUCCCUUUAACCUGUAUUAGGAACCAUAGCUGUCGUCAGAAUGCAUUCCYGCGGCUUCCUUUUGGACAGACUGCAGACUAUGCUGACUGAUCAGAGCACGUCCUCCUCACUAAUCAGAAUCUACGUUAGAAAAGUCUCAGGCCUCUGUACCCUUCGGUAAAGACACACCCAUCUACCUAUUACAUUCCUUUCUAAACGACAUGCCAAUUAAAGGCAAGGCUCUGAUAAUCUCAUUCAUGCUGACAUCUCAUCUAAAUUAAUUAGACUGCUUCCAUAAGACAGUAUUGCAUCUCAUGAGUAAGUAUAUACCCAUCUGUUCUAAACUUAAGCAGUAUUUGUUAUAGCUAUAACCAUAUUCUUCAGCAAGAUACUAGGAUUUCAGCUCCACUUUUUAUAGCACAAUAAAACUACCUUUUAUUUUACCA
Molecule: long non-coding RNA, 541 nt
Filed under: Apteryx owenii (little spotted kiwi)
Lineage: Eukaryota; Metazoa; Chordata; Aves; Apterygiformes; Apterygidae
Description: lncRNA (ENSAOWG00000013760.1)
Source: RNAcentral